UUGGUCGGGGUUGGCCGCAUGGAGCACACGCUGUGCGGGAACCCAUCCUGGAGCCGCCUUGGGGGACCGGAGCAUCAAGGCCCCAUUCCCCCUUCCAGAGAUGAGCUUCCUAGAACAAGGAGAGAACACUUCAUGGCCAUCACCGGCCACGAGCACUGGCUCAGAGAGAAGCCAUGGGAAACAGGGCGCCAAGGCCUUGCGAUGGACAAGGCAGGAGGCUGUGGAGGAAAGAGAGCUGCUGGGUCUGGGAGAAGAUCCAACCGAUCCCCAGGCCAGGCCACCUGCUGAGUAUGCCGGACUGGAGGCCACAUUCCCAGAGGCGACGCACUUGUCCCAAGCUGCUCCCUUGGCCCGGUUGGGCUCCUCACCCACAGAGUGGGACAUCUUCCCCUCCGACAACGUAGCCUCCACCGCGGGCUCCAGCACAGAUUGUCUGGAGCUAGACCUAGAAUUCCCGGCCACUGGGGCCUGGGGGUACGAACUGGGCAUGGUGGAAGAGAGGCCUGCCUUGUGCCCCUCCCCGCGGGCCCUGCUACCCAAGCCGGGCUGGGACGAUGAGUUGCAGAAGCCGGGGGCCCAGGUCUACAUGCAUUUUAUGCAGGAACACACCUGCUACGAUGCCAUGGCAACCAGCUCCAAGCUGGUCAUCUUCGACACCACGCUGGAGAUCAAGAAGGCCUUCUUUGCCCUUGUGGCCAACGGCAUCCGGGCGGCACCUCUGUGGGACAGCAAGAAGCAAAGCUUUGUGGGGAUGCUGACCAUCACGGAUUUCAUCUUGGUGCUGCACCGCUAUUAUAGGUCCCCGCUGGUCCAGAUCCAUGAGAUUGAAGAACACAAGAUUGAGACCUGGAGAGAAAUCUACCUUCAAGGCUGCUUCAAGCCUCUGGUCUCCAUCUCUCCCAACAGCAGCCUGUUUGAAGCUGUCUACAUCCUCAUUAAGAACCGGAUCCACCGUCUGCCGGUCCUGGACCCAGUCUCGGGCGCCGUGCUCCACAUCCUCACACACAAGCGGCUGCUCAAGUUCUUGCAUAUCUUUGGCGCCCUGCUGCCCCAGCCCUCCUUCCUCUCCCGCACCAUCCAAGAUCUGGGCAUCGGGACAUUCCGGGACUUGGCCGUGGUGCUGGACACGGCACCCAUCCUGACAGCACUGGACAUCUUUGUGGACCGGCGCGUGUCUGCGCUGCCUGUGAUCAAUGAAGCUGGACAGGUUGUGGGCCUCUACUCCCGCUUUGAUGUGAUUCACUUGGCCGCCCAGCAAACCUACAACCACCUAGACAUUAGUGUGAGAGAAGCAUUGAAGCAGAGGACACUGUGUCUGGAGGGGGUCCUUUCCUGCCAGCCCCACGAGAGCUUGGGGGAUGUCAUCGACCGCAUCGUCCGGGAGCAGGUGCACCGGCUGGUGCUAGUGGACGAGAGCCAGCAUCUCCUGGGCAUCGUGUCACUCUCUGACAUCCUUCAGGCACUGGUGCUCAGUCCUGCUGGUAUCGACGCCCUUGGGGCCUGAGAGUAUCUGAGUCCUUCCUCCAAGGCCACCUCUCACAUGCCGAAGAGGACGAAGGGAGCCAGGCGAUCCGGCCUCUGUCUUCCCCCACCCCCAUUUGCUGGUUUGGCCCUGGUUCAGGCUUCUCCAGCCUUUGCCCCUGCCCUGCCUAUGCUCCCAGAAGCCCUCACGAAUGCCCAGUGCACCAUGGGACGAUGAAAUGAAGGAGAACGGCUGAGUCAAGCCUGGAGAUCCAUGAGCCAGAAGCACUGGGAUUACCCCAGGGCCAGCUGCCCUGGGGCCAUCCGUGUCACUUUCCCCCCCUACCUGGGGCGUGACCGGGCCCAGCAGGGCAGCAAGCCCUCAGCUGUUGGGGUUCACUGCGGGGCUCUGGCUUCCUCAGCUUCUGGACUGCCUGGGAGUCCCAGCUGUUCUCCUACAACUACUAACGUGGUUCCCCACCGCUGUGCCCCUGCCCCCCAGCUCUUCCCAGAAUUGUCAUUUCAGGGCUGUUGGUGGUCGCCAUGGAACAGCAGCCCGGGGUUGGGGGGGGUCCUCCCUCGUCCUCAUCCUGAGCACCAGCAAGUGCUGUUCUCAGGCCUCUGUGUUUGGAUCACUGAGGAUGAACCCUUGAGGAAGCAUAAAUGGAAAAAGAACAGCCCAUGAACUUGAAUUGUAGAAGUUUCCCUCAGAGAAUGCCAGUCAUUUGACCCGAACCUAUGGCCCGACCCCUGUGCUUUCUGAAUUCAAAGACACGAGGGAAGGUCUGUGAUGGACAAACACCACGACUGGCAUUUCAUUGGCGCAUAGGGUGUUAGCCCACUGAAAUUCCUUUUUUCAUCUUUUAUUUAUAACAAAACAAUGAAGAAGAUACGAAUUAGUUAAUUAUGCAGUAAAUACAACUCAGUCUACGAACUCAUGUGCAGGAAACAUAACUUUAUUUUUCUAACACAGAAUGGAGUUUCUGUGAUGAACCCCACUUCACCAGGUGGGAGAAAUGAGUCUCAGUCAGUUUGGGGCUCAUCCCCCCCACCUUUUCCUGGGCUGAAUCUGGUGGGGAUGGGAGGGGAAUGCUUUAAGUAGUGUGAGCCUUUGUUCCUCUGUCAUCAUCAUCCGCGCAUGGCCACACCAGCUAAAAAAACCUGUUCCCAUCUGGUUGUCACUGGGUUGGUCAUGGGUGGACCUGGCACCUGCUAGGUGCUCUCUCAGUCCCUGUCACAAAGCCUCCCUGGGCCUGCCUGCUCCUGGGAUGUGAGGACGUUCUAGUUUCCAGACCUGCACUCGUCUGGGCUUUCAGAAGCUCUGCAGAGCAGUUCCAAGCCCAUCGGCUCAGACCGACAGCAAGUGGUCUGCUUUAUUCUGCAUUUUGCUUUACUUCAGCCUCUACCCUGAAACAUAGGGCACAGGGCUCUUCUACCCUUGUCAUCUACAGAUCUCUCUGGGGGUAUUUGUCACACUCCCCCCUUCCCUUCAAAUACAGCUCCCUUCUCGGGGCCCUCUUCUCAGGGGCCCCUGAAAUGUGGACCUCAGAGAUCUCCACAUUCUCUUUUCUUCCCCAACCCUCAUCAACCUAGGGAAUCUUUAUGAGUGGGGCCUUUUCUCUAACCCACUAUGCAUUCUUCCAAACCCACUGUACGUGUCUUGUGUUUCUUGCCACCUAUCUUGAGGGUCAAAUUCCAAAACCAAGACCCAAUUUCUGUUGUUUCAUCCCUCCCCUGAGGCAAUGGACACUGUAGGUCUGCCUUCCAGUGGGGAGAGGAUAGGCUAAUAUUCCUAAAAUAUGAUCCCACCUCAUUCCCCUCACAGAGCAACAGAGUGGAGACACUUGUGUCUGAUGAGUCGGACAGCAAAUGAAGGCCUUUUUUCAUAGACGCCCAGCCUCUGUUUCCAAUUUUGCCAAAACCACGGUUCAGUGCCAGCUCUGCUCUGGCCCUCCCUAGGAAGGCCCCGGGCCUUGGGCUCAAGUGGGAUGAUGGGAUGCGGGUGCUUCUCUGGGCCUGUGUCAAGGGACACUGUCCUCAGAGAGCCUGGGGCAGGCUGCCUCCAGCUGCAGCUAACUGGAGGGUAAGUAUAGUGGGUCAGUCUCUGAGUGGUUGCCCAAGAUGGCGCCCCAUAAGCAGACCUUCAGGAGUCAUAGCACCGACAGAAAAGGCAUCCUGAGGAAGUCACUCCUUCCCCUUCCUGCUCCCCCUGAGAGCAGAUAGGUCUCCAGCCUCCACCGUGCUGAGGACCCAGCCAUUCCCCCCUGGGCCCCUCUGUGAGGGACCACGCCAGCCCCGCCAGCCCCCUGCUUCAGCCGUCCUUCUCGGAUGACAGCCAGCCCUCAGUUCCCAAUAGUCUCCAGCACCAUGGCUUCUAGAACAGAGUCUAAGGGUUGCCAUAGGGACUAUUCCUGAAUAAAAGUGUUGAAACCGGGCGCCUGGCUGGCUCAAAGGGUUAAGCCGCUGCCUUUGGCUCAGGUCAUGAUCUCAGGGUCCUGGGAUCAGGUCCCACAUCGGGCUCUCUGCUCAGCAGGGGCCUGCUUCCCUUCCUCUCUCUCUGCCUGCCUCUCUGCCUACUUGUAAUCUCUCUCUGUCAAAUAAAUAAAUAAAAUCUAAAAAAAAA
This is an RNA transcript of Mustela lutreola (European mink), 4084 nucleotides long. It is a transcript of the gene named protein kinase AMP-activated non-catalytic subunit gamma 3, with no coding region annotated. The transcript has 14 exons. The record is from RefSeq and is a predicted model, not a curated record. NCBI's taxonomy places the organism in Eukaryota, Metazoa, Chordata, Mammalia, Carnivora, Mustelidae.